This 161-nucleotide ribosomal RNA is filed under the name uncultured bacterium. Its description in RNAcentral is "partial 16S rRNA". It matches the Rfam family "Bacterial small subunit ribosomal RNA", at positions 358 to 511 of the family's 1533-position model. The record is from RNAcentral.
GGAAUCUUCCACAAUGGGCGCAAGCCUGAUGGAGCAACACCGCGUGAGUGAAGAAGGGUUUCGGCUCGUAAAGCUCUGUUGUUGGAGAAGAACGUGCGUGAGAGUAACUGUUCACGCAGUGACGGUAUCCAACCAGAAAGUCACGGCUAACUACGUGCCAG